GAAGCGGGAUCGACGGCGCCUGUGCCCCGAGGGGCCUAGGGCGCCUGUGCGGCAGCGCUCGCGGCCCGGAGUCGCGGCGGGGCAGCCGGGGGGCGCGGGGCGGAAGCGAGGGUCUUGCUCUGUUGCCCACGCUGGAGUGCAGCGGCGUGAUCUCUGCUCACUGCAACCUCCACCUCCUAGGUUCAAGUGAUUCUCCUGUCUCAGCCUUCUGAGUAGCUGGGAUUCUAGUUGGAGUGCUUAGUGCAGUUGGUGAGAGCGGGAGCCACACUCAACGUCUCCACCACACGGUACGCGCAGACGCCAGCCCACAUUGCAGCCUUUGGGGGACAUCCUCAGUGCCUGGUCUGGCUGAUUCAAGCAGGAGCCAACAUUAACAAACCGGAUUGUGAGGGUGAAACUCCCAUUCACAAGGCAGCUCGCUCUGGGAGCCUAGAAUGCAUCAGUGCCCUUGUGGCGAAUGGGGCUCACGUCGACUACGUAAUUCGAAUUGACUUGAUUUUUUCAAGUAAUCCUAGAAAGGGGGAGCAUUCCAUAUAGAAACUGCUGAAACUGCCACAGGUGCUUCUCCGAAAACCUUACAGUUGUGGCAUUGAAUGUUCAGUAUCGCUUCCUUUCUGCACACGAGGCAUACUGUUGAGCCUGAGAAAUGCCAGUGGCCUGACAGCAGCAGACAUUGCACAAACCCAGGGUUUCCAAGAGUGUGCC
This 705-nucleotide long non-coding RNA is filed under the name Homo sapiens (human). RNAcentral's name for it is "non-protein coding lnc-CARS2-4:1". The record is from RNAcentral. Lineage: Eukaryota; Metazoa; Chordata; Mammalia; Primates; Hominidae.